AGCCUUCUGAAUCCGUGCCGAUAUUCUUUCAGACACAAGACAAUCAGGACUGAUGAGAAUCCCGAGAUAAGUGAAGCA
This is a non-coding RNA of Schistosoma curassoni, 78 nucleotides long. NCBI's taxonomy places the organism in Eukaryota, Metazoa, Platyhelminthes, Trematoda, Strigeidida, Schistosomatidae. The record is from Rfam.